AAGUCGUAACAAGGUUUCCGUAGGUGAACCUGCGGAAGGAUCAUUAAAAAAAGGGUCGCAAGACCUAUUUUUAAACACUAUCGCCGCCUAUCAUCUAUGGGUAGGAUACUCUUGUCUAUGGGUGAGAUGGAGGAGGUAGGGUUUUUUAAAAUCCAAUUAUUAUUAUAAAAUAUAUCGUCUAAUGACAACCAAAAAAAUUUAUUAAAACUUUCAACAAUGGAUCUCUUGGCUCUC
Molecule: unclassified non-coding RNA, 234 nt
Filed under: fungal sp.
Lineage: Eukaryota; Fungi
Description: partial internal transcribed spacer region
Rfam family: Eukaryotic small subunit ribosomal RNA (bases 1-46)
Source: RNAcentral